AGGCACUCUGGACCUGGCACCCGGCAGGUGCCUGGUGUGUAGACAUCCCACGGGCCGAACCUUGGGUAGACCCCAAGCAAGAGCCAAGGGCGGAGCCAGAGCUGGCCACAAGGAGAACUUCUGCCUAGAGAAGUCUGACUGUGAGCUGAGGAGCCUGACCUGACCCUGGAGGCAUUCUUUGGGUCUGGGCUGCGCCAUGGUCCCCGCUGAUGAACCAGGCGGAGGGCACCCAUGCCCCAGCAGAUCGAUGCACAGCAACCUGCCUGCCACACCCAGGAAGCUGGGGGAGGCCCCUGCACCCCCCACCCCACCACCAUUUGAAGGACCGAGACUGAUAUCCAGGGGGCCAGUCCUGCUGCAGAUGGACAGGCCUUCACAUGGACCCUGGGGAGGACCCUGUGGACUCAGGGGAGACAAACUCAAGGCCAGUAACCAUGCCGUGUCCCA
Molecule: small RNA, 447 nt
Filed under: Bos taurus (domestic cattle)
Lineage: Eukaryota; Metazoa; Chordata; Mammalia; Artiodactyla; Bovidae
Description: partial Meg 9 variant 2
Source: RNAcentral